Molecule: ribosomal RNA, 433 nt
Filed under: uncultured bacterium
Lineage: Bacteria
Description: partial 16S ribosomal RNA
Rfam family: Bacterial small subunit ribosomal RNA
Source: RNAcentral
AACGAACGCUGGCGGCAGGCCUAACACAUGCAAGUCGAGCGAGGACUUCGGUUCUAGCGGCGGACGGGUGAGUAACGCGUGGGAAUGUGCCCUUCUCUACGGAAUAGCCCUGGGAAACUGGGAGUAAUACCGUAUACGCCCUAUUGGGGAAAGAUUUAUCGGAGAAGGAUCAGCCCGCGUUGGAUUAGGUAGUUGGUGGGGUAAUGGCCUACCAAGCCGACGAUCCAUAGCUGGUUUGAGAGGAUGAUCAGCCGCACUGGGACUGAGACACGGCCCAGACUCCUACGGGAGGCAGAAGUGGGGAAUCUUAGACAAUGGGGGCAACCCUGAUCAAGCCAUGCCGCGUGAGUGAUGAAGGCCUUAGGGUUGUAAAGCUCUUUCAGCUGGGAAGAUAAUGACGGUACCAGCAGAAGAAGCCCCGGCUAACUCCGUG